AGCAUGCAAGUCUCAGUACGAGCUGACUUAAAGUGAAACCGCAAAAGGCUCAGUAAACCGGUCAUAGUUUACCGGAUAAAUGCCACUCACGUGGAUAACUGUGGUAAUUCUAGAGCUAAUACAUGCAAACAAGUCCCGACCAGCGAUGGAGAGGACGCUUUUAUUUGAUCAAAACCAUUCGCCCGGCUUGUCCGGGCGUCGGCUUGAUGACUCUGGAUAACACCACAGAUCGCACGGUCACAGUACCGGUGACAUAUCCUUCAAAUGUCUGACUUAUCAGCUGUCGAUGGUAGACUCUGUGUCUACCAUGGCGCUCACGGGUGACGGGGAAUCAGGGUUCGAUUCCGGAGAGGGAGCCUGAGAAACGGCUACCACAUCCAAGGAAGGCAGCAGGCACGCAAAUUACCCACUCCCGGCACGGGGAGGUAGUGACAAAAAAUAACGAUACGGGACUCAUCCGAGGCCCCGUAAUCGGAAUGAGAACACUCUAAAUCCUUUAACGAUGAUCUAUUGGAGGGCAAGCCUGGUGCCAGCAGCCGCGGUAAUUCCAGCUCCAAUAGCGUAUAUUAAAGUUGUUGCGGUUAAAAAGCUCGUAGUUGGUUCUGCGUGCCACGCUGUCGGUUCACCGCCUGCCGGUGCAACUGGCAUGCCGUGGCAUGUCCUGUCGGUGGCGGAUAGGCCUCCCGGCGUGCCCUAUGCGGUAUACCAGCGUGUAGGCUGCUGCGCCGGGGGUGUCCUUGUACGCCGACUCAAUCCUACCGCGGUGCUCUUUACCGAGUGUCGAGGUAGGCCGACACUGUUUACUUUGAACAAAUUAGAGUGCUUCAAGCAGGCUCUUAAAUCAGCCUGAAUAGUGGUGCAUGGAAUAAUGGAACAGGACCUUGGUUCUAUUUUGUUGGUUUCCGGAAUCCAAGGUAAUGAUCAAUAAGGACAGGCGGGGGCAUUCGUAUUGCGACGUUAGAGGUGAAAUUCUUGG
This 976-nucleotide ribosomal RNA is filed under the name Tropidothorax cruciger. RNAcentral's name for it is "SSU rRNA". It matches the Rfam family "Eukaryotic small subunit ribosomal RNA", at positions 47 to 923 of the family's 1831-position model. Lineage: Eukaryota; Metazoa; Arthropoda; Insecta; Hemiptera; Lygaeidae. The record is from RNAcentral.